GCCAGAGUGGUUUAGUGGUUGGUGUGUUGGAUUACAACUCUGGAGACCAGGGUUCAAAUCCCAGCUCAGCCA
RNAcentral lists this transfer RNA (72 nucleotides) under Phrynosoma platyrhinos (Desert horned lizard). Its description in RNAcentral is "tRNA-OTHER". The record is from RNAcentral. Lineage: Eukaryota; Metazoa; Chordata; Lepidosauria; Squamata; Phrynosomatidae.